This 405-nucleotide ribosomal RNA is filed under the name uncultured bacterium. RNAcentral's name for it is "partial 16S ribosomal RNA". It matches the Rfam family "Bacterial small subunit ribosomal RNA", at positions 29 to 526 of the family's 1533-position model. The record is from RNAcentral.
AUUGAACGCUGGCGGCAGGCUUAACACAUGCAAGUCGAACGAGUGGCGGACGGGUGAGUAAUGCUUGGGAAUCUGGCUUAUGGAGGGGGAUAACGACGGGAAACUGUCGCUAAUACCGCGUACCAUAGGAUGAGCCCAAGUGGGAUUAGGUAGUUGGUGGGGUAAUGGCCUACCAAGCCGACGAUCUCUAGCUGGUCUGAGAGGAUGACCAGGCAAACCGGGACUGAGAAACGGCCCGGACUCCUACGGGAGGCAGCAGGGGGGAAUAUUGAGCAAUGGGGGCAACCCGACGGCGCCAUGCCGCGGGAAUGAAGAAGGCCUUUGGGUUGUAAAGUUCUUUCGGUGAGGAGGCCUUAAUCACAGAAGAAGGAACGGCUAACUCCGGUGCCGGCGCCGCGGUAAUAC